UACGUAGGUGGCGAGCGUUAUCCGGAAUUACUGGGUGUAAAGGGAGCGCAGGCGGGACGACAAGUCAGCUGUGAAAACUAUGGGCUUAACCCAUAGACUGCAGUUGAAACUGUUGUUCUUGAGUGGAGUAGAGGCAAGCGGAAUUCCGAGUGUAGCGGUGAAAUGCGUAGAUAUUCGGAGGAACACCAGUGGCGAAGGCGGCUUGCUGGGCUCUAACUGACGCUGAGGCUCGAAAGUGUGGGGAGCAAAC
Molecule: ribosomal RNA, 250 nt
Filed under: uncultured bacterium
Lineage: Bacteria
Description: partial 16S ribosomal RNA
Rfam family: Bacterial small subunit ribosomal RNA
Source: RNAcentral